Non-coding RNA from Acanthosepion pharaonis, 113 nucleotides. The record is from the annotation of a GenBank genome assembly. NCBI's taxonomy places the organism in Eukaryota, Metazoa, Mollusca, Cephalopoda, Sepiida, Sepiidae.
UUACGGCUAUAUCACGUUGAAACAUCGGCUCUCGUCCGAUCAUCUAAGUUAAGCAACGUCGAGUCUGGUCAGUACCUAGAUGGGUAACUGCUUGGGAAUGUGCAAGUGAUGCA